RNAcentral lists this ribosomal RNA (493 nucleotides) under uncultured bacterium. RNAcentral's name for it is "partial 16S ribosomal RNA". It matches the Rfam family "Bacterial small subunit ribosomal RNA", at positions 28 to 507 of the family's 1533-position model. The record is from RNAcentral.
GACGAACGCUGGCGGCGUGCUUAACACAUGCAAGUCGAACGGAAAGGCCUGCUUUCCCUGUGGAUUGCGGGUACUCCGGUGGCGUACGGGUUAGGAACACGCCAGUUAUUUGCCCCCAACUUGGGUAUAAGCCCGGGAAACUGGCUCCAAUUCCCGUGAGGACCGUCGGGGUGCGCCCGUGGUGGAAAACGAUUUUUUAGUUGUUGGGGAUGAGCUCGCGGCCUUUCAGCCUGGUGGUGGGGUAAUGGACUACCAACGCGUCGACGGGUAGGCCGCGUGAGAGGGUGGACGGCGGAAUUGAGACUGCGAUACGGCCCAGACGCGAGCGAGAAGCAGCGGUCGGGAAUAUAGGACAAUGGGCGGAAGCCUGAUGCAGCGAGGCAGCGUGGGGGAUGACGGCAUUGGAGUUGUAAACUCCUUUCGACCGAGAGGAAGCCACCUGGUUGGAAGGGUGGUGACGGUAGUGGUAGAAGAAGCACCGGCUAACUACGUG